Molecule: ribosomal RNA, 422 nt
Filed under: uncultured bacterium
Lineage: Bacteria
Description: bacterial SSU rRNA
Rfam family: Bacterial small subunit ribosomal RNA
Source: RNAcentral
UGAGGAAUAUUGGGCAAUGCCCGCAAGGGUGACCCAGCAACGCCGCGUGGAGGAUGAAUGUCGUAAGAUUGUAAACUCCUGUUAGAGGGGAAGAAUAGUACUGGUUGGACCGGUAUAUGACUGUACCCUCAGAGAAAGCCCCGGCUAACUACGUGCCAGCAGCCGCGGUAAUACGUAGGGGGCAAGCGUUGUCCGGCUUUACUGUGUGUAAAGGGCGCGCCGGCGGGAUAAAAAGUCAGUGGUGAAAUCCUACAGCUUAACUGUAGAACUGCCUUUGAUACUUUUAUUCGUGAGUUCGGGAGAAGGAGACGGAAUUCCAGGUGUAGUGGUGAAAUACAUAGAUAUCUGGAAGAACACCAGUUGCGAAGGCGGUCUCUUGGUCCGACACUGACGCUGAGGCGCGAAAGCGUGGGGAGCAAACA